Non-coding RNA from Schizosaccharomyces pombe (fission yeast), 294 nucleotides. The record is from the annotation of a GenBank genome assembly. Lineage: Eukaryota; Fungi; Ascomycota; Schizosaccharomycetes; Schizosaccharomycetales; Schizosaccharomycetaceae.
UGGUGCUAAAUCUGAUCUGAUCUCACUGUCAUUGUUUUGUUUCCUCCCAUAAGCUCAGUAUGUCCCCACGCCACAAGUAAUACGUAGCAAGUGAGAGGUGUCUACUGUUGCAAGAAAUACUCUAUUGUAACCUACCAGCGCAAAAGCUUCGAGGCUACAAAUUGCUUAUUAGUUUUAUUAGAAAUCAUCACAGUUGGCCUUACUCGUACCAGUCUAUUCAUAAGGUCAGGAGCAUCCCGUCGAUCUGUAUCCGCCUGAUCUGCAAAAUACGCAGGAAGCCGAUGAAUAAUGCCC